AUUGAACGCUGGCGGCAGGCCUAACACAUGCAAGUCGAGCGGAUGAAGGGAGCUUGCUCCUGUAUUCAGCGGCGGACGGGCGAGUAAUUCCCAGGAAUCUGCCUGGUAUUUGGGGAUAACGUCCGGUAACGGGCGCUAAGACCGCAUACGUCCUGAGGGAGAAAGUGGUGGUUCUUCAGACCUCACCCGAUUAGCUGACCCUAGGUCGGAUUAGCUAGUUGGUGGGGUAAAGGCCUACCAAGGCGACGAUCCGUAACUGGUCUGAGAGGCUGACCAGUCACACUGGAACUGAGACACGGUCCAGACUCCUACGGGAGGCAGCAGUGGGGAAUCUUGGACAAUGGGCGAAAGCCUGACCCAGCAACGCCGCGUGUGUGAAGAAGGUCUUCGGAUCGUAAAGCACUUUAAGUUGGGAGGAAGGACAGUAAGUUAAUCCCUUGAUGUUUUGACGUUACCAGCAGAAUAAGCACCGGCUAACUUCGUG
This 484-nucleotide ribosomal RNA is filed under the name uncultured bacterium. RNAcentral's name for it is "partial 16S ribosomal RNA". It matches the Rfam family "Bacterial small subunit ribosomal RNA", at positions 30 to 507 of the family's 1533-position model. The record is from RNAcentral.